This 73-nucleotide transfer RNA is filed under the name Felis catus (domestic cat). It matches the Rfam family "tRNA". From Rfam's summary of the family: Transfer RNA (tRNA) molecules are approximately 80 nucleotides in length. Their secondary structure includes four short double-helical elements and three loops (D, anti-codon, and T loops). The record is from Rfam by way of RNAcentral. Lineage: Eukaryota; Metazoa; Chordata; Mammalia; Carnivora; Felidae.
ACCUGGUUAGCUCAGUCAGUAGAGCAUGUGACUCUUGAUUUCAGGGUUGUGAGUUCAAGCCCCACAUUGGCUA